GCACAGCCCAAACACACAUGUCCCUUCCCGAUCCCCCGCCAGACGGACAGACAAACACGCAUGCAAACCGCCCCCACCCGUCUCCACGCGCCCGGGUCCAGCCGGCAGCGGCCAGAGCCGCUCUGCAGCCGGUGCACCCGCAAGGCGAGGGCGCCUCCGCCUGAACCUUCCAUCGAGACAGUCCCCUCCUUCCUCGCUUCCUUCCUUCGCUCCUUCCUUCCUUCCUUCCUUGCCCGGGAGGUAAAGGGAGUCACUGAAAUGCCCAGAGCCAGCGCCUUCGCUGCGCUCGCUCGGCCGCAGGCCGGCGGCCCGGGCCUCGCGCCGCCAGCCCGCCCGGCCGCCUGCGCCGCGCGCCGCGGCCCCCUCCCCCGCUACCUGACAACGGGCCGCCGCCGGCCGCCGCAGCCGCAGCGGUGGCCGGGCCGUGCGCGCCGGUGCACGUCGCUCAUUAGUAAGCAGGCACAUUCCUGCCUCCAGCGCUCCCGCGCGGCCCCCUCCCCCCAGGACAUUACGCAAAGCAGCCUCCCCUCAUCUGCAUAGAUCCGCGGCCAGGGUAUUCCCCGCAUUUCCCCACGCGCCCGACACCCCUCCCGCGGUCUCCCCCAUCCCCGCCCCCUCCGACCCUCACCCUCGGGCCACCGGGAAGGGGCUGGGGGCACACGCCGGGGAGCGGGGGACGGAGUUCGGCGGCGGCGAUUCCAAUAUAAAGUGAAACAAGCUCCCAGCGCCGAAGGAGGCAGGAAAAACCCAGCGUCCAGGCCACUUACCGAGCCGAGGAGGGACCUAGAUUCCCGCCGCUCCGCUCUCGCGGUGGCCGGUCCGCCCUCCGCGCACCCCGAGGCUGCACCCAGCACCCCAGACGCGAGACGUGGAGGAACGCUGUGAACGAGCCGGGAGACCCUCCAAGUUGCUCUGGGCUCCGUGGAGCGUCAAGGUCCAAGACACAACUUGGCAAAGACUUGUGCCACAGUCACCGAAGAUGUUUGUGCGGAGACCCUCCUGCGGGGAACGACGGCGCUCGGCGGCGCCCCGCUCUCCUCCUCUCCACCCCCUCACCUCCAGCCCGCCUCCCGCCGGCCGCCCGCCUCCGGGCCGCGAGCCCCUCGGGCGGCUGUCAGCUCCCGGCCGCCGCCGGGUGACAGGGGCGGGAGGAGGGCGCGACGCGGCGGCCCGAGCCCCAGCGGGCGAGGGGGAUCCUCGCAGCCGCGGCGGCCGCUCACCUGGAAAGUCACCGCUGAGGAGGAGGAGAAGGAGGACGGGGAGGAGGAGGGAGAGGAGGAGGGGGAGGAAACCCCCCUGGUGCCCUUGUUCUCGCUGCCGCGGCGGCCGCUCCUCGCCAAGGCUGAGCGUGUCUGGUGGGGGGUGUCUGGUAGCAUUUCCUUAAGGACAGAGGGAGGGCGGGCGCGGAGGGAGGGAAAAGAUCCCGACCGCCAGCCCAGGCUCCUCUUGCCUUUAUUUAUUUUUCUGACACUGUACGGAGAUGGGCCCGGGGCAGGGGCCGCCGGGCUCAGGCGGGAGCCGCGAGGCCCGGGCCGCAGCUGUCUGCGUGCGGGAGCCGCAGCGGCCGCCUCCCCUCCCGGGCUGUGGACGCACCGGGUUAUUCCUGGCAGCGCCUCCCCGAACAGAAGUUACUAGGAGGAGUGCGCGGCGAGGGCGGACGGGGGGAGAGGCGGAGGGAGGGAGGGAGGAAGAGGGAGAGACUCAGCCAACGACGUCAUCGGAUCCCCCAGCGCGUCCCAGGGAGGGAGGCUGAACCAGAAAAACCAGUCUGGAGCCAGUGAGCGAGAGAGGGAUGUGCGGCGCGCGGGGCGACGGGGGAGGGAGGCGGUCGGGAGGGCAGGGCCGGGCCCCACGGCUGCCGCUGCGGGCGGGGAGAUCGCGGCCGCGCACUCGCUCGGUCGGAGCGGGGAACUCCCCGGAGAGCUGGUCUCUACUUGUCAUGCAAAAAAACUUGGGCAUCUCUAGGAGCCUGAGAAUUUCCUUUAAGGAUGUGGAAACGUCCUCCGUCCCCACCCCUUCCCCAUUUCCCAGAGAAUCGUUGUCUGCCUUCCUGACGAACGGAAUUGUAUAAUUAGUAGUGCCCUUAGAUUUGGAACCAGUACUCCGGAUCCCUGGCCUCUCCUCGCCCCCUGCCUCUACUCACAAUUAUGUUAUCGGUCAAGAAAAGCAAAAUCAGACUGUGGCUCCCGGCUGGGUUUCUGGAGCUUUGUAGGGUUUUACUAGCACUUUCCGUGCCCCUGCGGGCGCGCGAACUAUUCACGUGCUCGAAACGCCCGGAUUACCUUCCCUGAGGUCACUCACCAGGGUGCCCCCGGCACCCCCAGUUCGGGGACCGCGGCCCGCCCUCGCCAGGGGAUUCAAAUAGGUGUGGGCAGCGGCGCGAAGAGCAGCUGCCGGUUUCCUGGUGGGCCGCGCUGGAACCUCGGGGCGAGCUGCCACCUUCAGCCUGUGCGCUUCCCUCUCCACGGAAGGGACCGGAGUUGAAAUCACAACCAACCCUGGGAGAGCGGGGCCGGGAGGCGGGGGAAUCCCAGGCGAGUGGGAGCCGAAGCUCUGGGCUUCCUCCCCGGCCGGGCGACACCCGGGGGACACCGGGGCUCUCUCGGGCCGUUACCCUGCCUAUGUGGACUGGUGUGCACCCUCGGGGGAGGUUCCUAGGGUGCCACGGUGCCCGAGCGCGACGAGUGACUGCUGGGGAGGGGGGCCGGGUCCCGGAGCGCCUCCUCCGGGUGGUCUCCCCCCCAGCGGGGACCGCGCGCAGCACCUCGCGGGCGCCCCAGCCCCCGCACCCUGCGGAGCAGAGCCGAGCGCCCAGGACGCCGCGGGCCCCAGCGGUCCUCCCCACCCCCUGGCCGCGCCGCCGCCCUGCCCGGGGCGGAGUAAACAAGAGACGCGCAAGAUUUGACCUGGCGCGACCCGGCUUUCUGGCCGGGGUUCCCCCUGAGCAGGUGACUCCGUGGGAGGGGUGGAAAUGAGUCUCUGGAAUUCCGGGCCAAAGACAAUAACUGUGGUUCUGCUUUUAAAGCAGGUAUUUCACCAGCAACUGCGGAAUGUUUUGUGUCUCCAGUUUCAAAUUUCGCGGAAAGGGACCAAAUGUGAGGACAUAUAAAAUAUCCCCUUCUCUUUUCAUUAAAAAUGAGUGCAUUACAAAGGAAGGGCAGCCCCUUAAUGCCUGCGAGAAUAGCGCUGCUGGUUUCGUUUUUGUUUUGUUUUGUUUUGUUUUUCAUUCUGACCCACAAUCAGUGUAUUUUUGAGGUCCCUAUGCAAUGGCGACGGUGCCGUGAAGGGCAACUCAGCAAAAUAAAGCGGUGAUACAUUUUUUAACCGAUUUUUUUCUCAGAGGAGAAAAAUCUGAACAAUUUGGCCUAAGUUUCACUUUGUCCUUCUCUUAGGUUGAUCUCAUUUAAAUUCAGGGCCUACUUCCACUUAAGCAACUUCUUCUUUCAUUGUAUAGGUUCUUUAAUAUCCAACCUUUUUAAACUUAACUUGAAGCCUUUAAUUUAAAAAACUGUCCCAAUCAUCAUUUUCUUUUCAAUGUAUGCAGUUGCAUUUUAAACAUCCAUUUAACACACAAAAUGUGAUUUUUGAAAUUUUUUUCACUUUCAAACCCACCUGCUACAUACUCCCAGAGAGCGUUUUAUUUAAUUGCUUAAUAGAGAAGAUUAAGCAGUUUCUUUAAGAAUCCAAUUUCCCUUCAACAAGCACAACAGCAGCUGCCCAAGCUCCCAGAAACUAAGCAAAGGCAAGUAGCAGGCAGCGUUUUGCUUCACUAGAAUGAAUGUUAGUUGAAACCUUAAAUACCUCUUUAAAAGACUAGAUUAAAGAGAAUAAUGGGAAUAUUAAGAUACUCCGGUAGUUAGUUAAAAUAUUUUUUAAGGAAAACCAGGCAGAUAUACAUCUAUUUUGAUGAUUUGAUCCCACCUUCAAAGAGGAUCCCUGAAAAGAGUUUUAGUCACAAUUUGACAAAUUUUAAAUAAUUACUUUGUUUCAGAGUCAUGAGGAUGGAAAGAAGAUAGCCUGCGUUGAGUUGAAGUAAAGUAAAAAUAUUAUGAAUAUGUGUAACUAGGUGACAUCCUCUCUGCUGGGAAGAAUCCUUUUUUUUUUUUUUUUUUUUUUUCUGGUGACAGGUUCUUGCUCCAUCACCCAGGCUGGAGUGCAGUGGCAUGAUCUUGGCUCACUGCAGCCUCUCCCUUUCAGGCUCAAGCAAUCCUCCCACCUCAGCCUCCCGAGUGGAGGGGGAGCCACUGCAGAUCUGGAGCAAAUCAGCACCAGCCACUCCAGAGCCUGACCUACAUAGGACUCAGAAAGCAUUGUCUAUUGUGAUUGAUUAUUCCUGUGUUCAGUCCCAAUGGCCUAUUGAUUGGGGGUUUCUCUCCAAAAGGCUGCAUGGCUUUUCUUCUCUAAGUGAAUCUCCUUUAUAACCCAUAUUUUAUGUCUAUAUACCAAACAUGCUAUCCAUAUUUAGUCAAUGUCCAGUUGCUUGCAUGUAAGGGCAAUAGAGUAAUCAGAAAACUCUUCCCAGAAAGCCCCCGAAGACAAAACUAGUACUGGUAGAAAACUGGGCAUGCAGCUCUAAGAAACUCUAUGGGAAGUGAGGCUGGGUGGGGCACAGCUGCCCCAGCCUGGCACCCAUAUGGAGCAUCAGCAAGGAAGUAGGAACUUUCUUUUCAUCAUGCAUCCUUCUUAUCACUUCUCAGUUUCAAAGGGAAAGAAAAUUUGGUAAUCUGCAUUUUGAGACAUUAAGAAAAUAAAAUAAUUAAUGGCUUCAUGGUUAUAUGGCAUUUUUCAGAGUAUUGUCAGAAAAUCAUUUCGAACUGAAAUUUUCAUUCAAAAAUAUUUAUUGAAUGCCGGCUAUGUGCUGAAGAUUCUUAAGAUACAUCAGUGAACAAAUCAAAGUUCCCUGCUUUCUUGGAGCUUGCAUUCCAGCGGGAGGAGAGGAUUUGGAGGAAGAAUGGGAUAGACAAUAAAUGUAAAAUGGAUUUCAUUGAUUCACAUAACCAUCACUCAAGGACUAACUUUCAACAUAGUGAGAUCCUGAGGCUCAAAUAUUAUUACCCGGGUUCCAUGAACUGCUUCCUCUGACAUGAGAUCUAACAAGGCUAAAGACUAAAAUGCAGCUGUUUACAGCGUAAGUAGGAGGCCGUCCCGUGCAGUGCAAAAUCAACAGAGAGGAGACAGUCCUAUGCCUUCGAGAGACAGUCUGCUGAUACUGUCAUGAUGUCUAGUGACAGGCCAGAGAUCAAAACCCAACACCCUCAUUUACCUGACAGUGAUUUGGCCAAUCCCUUAACAUCUCUAAGAGCUUCAUUUUUCUACAAAAUUGAGACAAUAGUAUUUGUUUCAUAGUGUUACUGUCAGGGUUAAAUGUUAUACAUUAAGCAUUUAAUAUAUGCUGCUUGUUUAUCUAAAUAUUCAUGGUCAGGCACUAACUUCUUAUGUGACUCUGAGCAAUGCAUUCAUCUCUGUACCUGUUUCCUCAUCCAUAAAUUGGGAGUUGAACAAGGUGAGCCCUAAGUUUCGUUCCAACUUCAAUAUUCUAUAAUUCUUGCAACUUAUAUGGCCUCAGUUUUCUUAUCUUUAUAAUGGGCAUAAGAGUACCUACCUCACAGAAUUUUUGAGAGGAUAAAAUGAAUUAAGACAGGUAGAAAAUUCUUAGAACAGUGCCUGCCACAUUGGAAGUGCUUAAUAUGUAUUAGCUGUGAUGAUGCUGCUAAUGAUGAAGAUGAUAAUGACCCUAUUUGCAGAUAGUAUGGCAGCCAUAAAACAUUCAGUAUCAGAUUGAUUACAUUCUCUUAUUUUCUGAGUCAAUGCCAGAGCUACCAAGAUUUUAUUCUUUAAAGGUUCUUCAAGACUAAAUUCUUUUUACAUGAUAUGAUUAUUACACAUUGUAUGUCCGUAUCAGACCAGCCUGGCCAACAAGGUGAAACCCCAUCUCUAAAAAUACAAAAAUUAGCAGGGCAUGGUGGCACGCACCUGUAGUCCCAGCUACUCGGGAGGCUGAGGCAGGAGAAUCACUUGAACCCGGGAGGCAGAGAUUGCAGUGAGCUGAGAUCGUGCCACUGCACUCCAGCCUGGCAGAGUGAGACUCCAUCUUAAAAAAUAAAUAAAUAAAUAAAUAAAUAAAUCUCAUGUACUCCAUAGAUAUGGGGUACCUACUAUGUACUCACAAAAAUUAAUUUUUUUUUAGAAAAGCCUAAGCUCAUUUGCUUCUUAGUAAGAAUUAUGUUAAGAUUUCCCAGUGUAGAUACCCUAGGCUGCUAAUUUUUUUUCUUUUGUUAUCAGUAUCUUAAGAAAUUAAUUGGCCCGGGAGUGGUGGCUCAUGCCUGUAAUCCCUGCAGUUUGGAAGGCCAAGAUGGGAGGAUUGUUUGAGGCCAAGAGUUCAAAACCAGCCUGGGCAACAUAGUGAGAUACUAUCUGUAUAUAAAAUAAAAAAAUUAGUGAGGCAUGGUGUCAUAAGCCUGUGGUCCCAGCUACUUGGGAGGCUGAGGUGAGAGGAUUGCUUGAGCCCAGGAGGUCAAGGCUGCAGUGAGCUGUGAUGGUGACACUGCACUCCAGCCUGGGCUAUAGAGCAAGACCCUGUCACCCUCCUCAAAAAAAAAAAAAAAAAGCAAUUAAUUGAUUUAUUUAUGGCCAUUCUCUCUUUUUGUGAGCUGGAUAUGUGUUCACUUUCAUUCUAAAAACGUACAGCCCCCAAAGCCCACACAUGUUGUCAAAGCUCACUACAUUUACCUAGAGAGUUUCCUGUAGUCUCCUCUUUCAAGUAUUUUAAAUAAUGCGUAAUUUCUUCAUGUAACUGAAACAUGUUAAUGUUGAGUUGGCACAGGAAGAAAAGUUUUGAUUUACUCAGAACUGGGAUUUGUGUGGGUCAUUUCCUAGUCCUCCUAAGUAUUUAACAAAUGUAAAAUGUAACACACAAUUAAAUAAGCUACCCAAGCCAAAUGAACUGGUGAGUGCAUUAUAAAUAGCAACCAAAAUUAUUCUUCAGUUGUUAACUGGUAUGUCCUGAUUUAAUAAUGAAUUACAUCAUUUGACAAAUGAGAUAAGACUUCCACCUUUAGCUUUCUGAUCCAAACUUCUAAUAGUUGAAAUGUAUUAUUACCAUCUGGUGUCUGGCCUCUGAAAUGCCCUGGCGAUAUCUGCCUCAUUUCAAGUAGUUGGGGCUUGCAUAUGCCAGCAAAGCACUCUCCGAAGUGUCUUGAUUGGCAGGCCCAGAGAGAAGGCUAAGAACCGAAUGAACCAUGGAGAUAUAGCUCCAGCUCUGUAGAAGUUUCCUCUGGUUCAAGGCAGACUCAUUUUCUUAGUUUGUGCAGCAAAAAAAUUGUCAUGAUCGAAGUUGUUUUUAUUUUGGAUCUCAAUCCUGAAGGAUGCAAUUCCUAUACUUACCAAGAAUGUUUCCAUCUGUUUUAAAUUAUUUCACUCCUUUUACAAACUGGCAAUAAUUUUAACACCUUUUAUUUUCAGUGAAAAUAAUUCGAGAAUGAAGCUGAGAAUGAUACAUAAGCCUAGAGUUUUAACUCAGUGAAGUAAUAUGAUUCUGACAGUUCUUUAUUUUUUCCACAUUGUGUUAGAUUCCUAGUAAAAAGGGAAGAUGAAUCUUAUUGCUUUCAAAAACCUGACAAUAUGGUAUGUAGGACAGAAUGAACAUACAUAGAACAAUAUCCAAUAACACAGAUGAAGGUGUCAAAGCCAUUGCCAGACAGAGUGGUGCAGAUUGUGAGAUCAGUUUUCUUGGUAAGUGUUAUGGACUGAAUGUUGGUAUUCUCUAACAUUCAUAGAUUAUAAUCUAAUCCCCAAUGUGAUGGUAGCACUAUCUGGGGGUGAGACCUUUGGGAAGUAAAGGUCUUUUUCUCUCCACACCUGACCAAAAGUAGGAGCUCAACAAAUGUAUGUGCACUGAAAUGGAAUGGGGGCAAACAGCCUGGUGGUAUAGUACAAAGCAAAAUUUGGUUAUGGUAGGAGCAGUACAGAUACAUCUGGAUCACAAUCUAAAUUCUCUCCAGGGACCAAAUACAUAGAUUUACCCCUUGGGUUAUUGGUCUGGUAGACUCUUAAUUUUUAAUAGGGUUUAUAUAAUCUAGACUUCUUAUAACCUCUGCCCCACUGGAUAUAGGUAUUACUCAGUUGAAGUUAAAAAUUGAAUAUAGGAUUAUAUGCAAUGCUUUAUCUAUAACUUUCUUGUAAGGAUAAACUCAGUACAUCUCUGGUUUUCUAAUAUUUUGGAGGAAAUGUUACAAAUAGGUAAGGAAAGUUUGAGCCUCAUUUACGCAUGAGGGUGGACCCCUCCUGAAUGAGAUUAAUGUCCUUAUAAGAAAAGGCCAGAGAGCUAGCUCACUCUCUUUCAGCAUGUGAGGACACAAGAAGCCCAGAGUCUGCAACCUGAAAGAGGGCCCUCACUAGAACCCAAUCAUGCUGACGCUGUGAUCUUGGACUUUCAGGCUCCAGAACUGUGAGAAAUAAAUUUCUGUUGUUUAUAAGCCAUCCAUUUCAUGACAAUUUGUUAUAGUGGCCUGAACAAAGACAAUAGGUAUAAAAGAGAAUUGAUAAAGAUGAAAUUUAGGAAUACAAUUAGAAGUGAAAUGCAAAUAACAAGAGGGUGACCCCGGAGUAGAAAAGUGUCUGUGUCUGGUAGAUUUGAAUAGUUUACAAAUGCCAAGCCUGUGCAAAAUAGGAGUUACCAAUAUUAAUGGCUGCAUCAUUACAAGGUGUAUCCAAAAGACACUUAAGAUUAAGUCUGUGUUUGUCAGUGGGGAGGUGAGAGUAGGAAAUGUUAAAUAACCUGCCCUUUGUCACUCAGCCAACAAGUAAGAGAGCAGGGAAUCAAGUUCAGAUCUAAGUCCUCUAAAGUUAUUCCCCAAACUCCUCACAGCUUCACUUAAUAACCAUUUCCUGCUUUGGUUGACUUUACAAAGAUGACCAUACAUUUGAGAGCAAAAGGGGAAGCUAUGAAUCAUUACAUCUGGACAAAUGGCAUGAAUCAAGAUCAUCCACUGCCAACUAGAGUGUAUGUUCAUCUUCUGUCUAUAUAUCUUCAUUCCCAGACAUCUACCAGACAUCCAGUGACUUAUCUGAGAAGUACACUUGGAGGUCAGUUUCUUGGAGUAAAUUGAUCAAAGUGUUAAAAUUCUGGAAAGUUAUUGUAUUUUAAAAUAGUUCACACAAAAAAAUAGUACAAUGAAAUGAAUCACUAUUAGUGGAAUUUCAGGCCCUCAGGUACCUGAUAAUAAGAACUCUUUCAAAACAACAUAACUUUCCUGGUACCUGUCAAAUCACAAUUUCUAUAUGAGAUAUGGCCAGCUGGGUAUUCAAGGAUAAUUGGUCAGCUACUGUGAUGAUUAAUAUGGAGUGUCAACUUGUUUGCAUUGAAGGAUGCAAAGUAUUGUUCCUGGGUUUGUCUGUGAGGGUUGUAUUAGUCUGUUUUCAUGACACUGAUAAAGACAUAUCUGAGACUGGGCAAUUUACAAAAGAAAGAGGUUUAUUGGACUUUCAGUUCCACAUGGCUGGGGAGGCCUCACAAUCAUGGUGGAAGGUGAAAAGCACAUCUCACAUGGCGGCAGACAAAAGCAGAGAGCUUGUGCAGGGAAACUCUCAUUUUGAAAACCAUCAUAUCUCAUGACACUUAUUCACUAUCAUGAGAACAUCAUGGGAAAGACCUGCUCCCAUGAUUCAAUUACCUCCCACUGGGUCACUCCUACAACACGUGGGAAUUCAAGAUAACAUUUGGGUGAGGAUACAGCCAAAUCAUAUCAAGGGUGCUGCCAAAGGAGAUUAACAUUUGAGUCAGUAGACUGGAAGAGGCAGACCCACCCUCAAUCUGAGUGGUUACCAUCUAAGCAUCUGCCAAUGCAGCUAGAAUAAAGCAAGCAGAAGAAAGUGGAAUGAGAAGACUUGCUGAGUCUUCUGGUCAUCAUCUUUUCCCCAUGCUGGAUGCUUCUUGCCCUUGAACAUCAGACUCCAAGUUCUUCAGCUUUCAGACUCUUGGACUUAGAGCAGUGGUUUGCUAGGGGCCCUCAGGCCUUCAGCCACAGACUGAAGCCUGCACUGUCGACUUCCCUACUUUUGAGGUUUUGGUACUUGGAUUGGCUUCCUUGCUCCUCAGCUUACAGCUGGCCUAUUAUGGGACUUCACCCUGUGAUCGUGAGUCAAUUAUCCUAAUAAACUCCCCUUCAUAUAUACAUAUAUAUUAUUAGUUCUUACCUCUAGCGAACCCUGACUAAUACAGAUUUCUAGAUGUACAGAUGGAUUGAGAGGCAAACACUCUAAAUUAACAAGGCAGAAAUGAAAGAGCUGUUCUGCCCAAGAUCUUCAGCACUGCUCAGACCUCUAUAAGAAUUUCUUAUCCAGUUCAAAACUUAUCAACUUAAGAAAAAUAUAGAAAAUUUGUAAAGCAUUCAGAAGAAACUAAAGACUAAAGCAAAAUGAUAUGUUCAAAUACUUAACACUGCCAAAAUGUAAUGCAUUUCAAUAAAGUGAUAUAUGUCCUUAACUCACACAAAUUAAUAAAUGUCUAAUAGACAUACAUAUGGGAAGUGAAUAUCAAAUGCCUGUGUACUAUUUGUAUAAAAUCUAAGUUAAAACUCAUUUCCAUCCCAAAGAUGUGUGAUAUGUAAAAUAAUAUUCUACGUAUUUUGUUUAAUUUUGGGGGGUCAUUUAAGAUUUUUUUAUUUGCAGAAAAAAGAUGCUACAAACAAAAUUAAUGGGAAAAAACAAAAAUUAGUACCAAAAGAGGAAACGAGGACAAGGAAAAACACGAGCACAUAGAAAAAUGUAAAAAUACUCAAGCCAGGCUCAGAGAACCAGCAUCCCUGACAGCAAGUGUUGUUAAACAUCCACGUGGGUUGCUAAGGAAGGUUAGGGAAUCUCCCUUUCCCAGAAGUCUUUAAAAAUAGGAUAACAUCUGUUUGGAUGGGAUAAUGGUGGUACUGCUUGACUUGGCAGCUUCUUAAGCAAACCUAUGGUUUGGUAAUUCUACCAUUUCUAUUUCUGAUUUGAAAAGUAACAAAUAACUUCAGUUCACCUAGAAAAUUGGGCCUUAUAAUGACUUGUAAUAUUGUCUUAUAAAACUAUUUUCAUUGUCAUUAAUAGUGCAAAGGUAGAUAAUUGAGGUUUUCAGAGUAUACUUGAAUUUGCAGCCAAGGCUCAAACUUUCCUUAUCUAUUUGUAACAUUUCCUCCAAAAUAUUAGAAAACCAGAGAUGUACUGAGUUUAUCCUUACAAGAAAGUUAUAGAUAAAGCAUUGCACAUAAUCCUAUAUUCAAUUUUUAACUUCAACUGAGUAAUGCCUGUAUUCAGUGGGGCAGAGCUUAUAAGAAGUCUAGAUUAUAUAAACCCUAUUAAAAAUUGGAGUCUGCCAGACCAAUAACCCAAGGGGUAAAACAUAUAUAUUUGGUCCCUGGAGAGAAUUUAGACUGUGAUCCAGAUGUAUCUGUACUCCUCUUACCAUAACCAAAUUUUGCUUUCUACUAUACUACCAGACUGUUUGCCCCCAUUCCUUUUCACUGCACAUAUAUUUGUUGAGCUCCUACUUUUGGUCAGGUGUGGAGAGAAAAAGCCCACAGUCCCUGCCCUUGAGGAACACAUAAUCCAAAAAAAAAUGCAUGGGUGGCUCCAGGUGUUGUAGGGUCUUAGGCAAGUAUAAUUUUGGACAUGCAUUUUAAGAAAAAGAAUACAAAAUUACAAAUGCAGAAUUACUAAUAAAAGUGAAUAUUUAUUGUAUAGAGAAAAUUAAUCACAACAAAUUACAAGUUUUAGCAUUCUCACAAAUGCCAGAAAUACCACAAAAUCUCAGAAAAAAACCUAUAUUUUGUAUUAAUUAGCUGACUGAUCACAUGUAUAAUUCUACGUGUUCUACUUUUGGUUGCAUAUUGUUGACCACAUGAGAAAAAUUUCUUUAUUUACUUAUUCAGAUGGAGUUUCGCUCUGUCGCCCAGGCUGGAGUGCAGUGGCGCUAUCUCAUCUCACUGCAACCACUGCCUCCCAGGUUCAAGCGAUUCUCCUGCCUCAGCCUCCCGAGUAGCUGGGACUACAGGGGCAUGCCACCAGGCCCAGCUAAUUUUUGUAUUUUUAGUAGAGACGGGGUUUCACCAUGUUGGCCAGGAUGGUCUCAAUCUCUUGACCGCAUGAUCCACCCGCCUCGGCCUACAAAAGUGCUGGGAUUACAGGCGAGAGCCACCACGCCAGGCCAAGAAUUGUUUAUAUUAUUUUCUAUACAGAGAAAACAGUGAUAAUUUAUUCAGUCAUUCCUUUGGCAUGAUUGAAAUUUGUUUUCUUUCUGGCUCACAACUCUUUAAUAAUUAUAAGUAAGUUUUCAGGAUUGUUGUCAAGUACAGGAAAACUUCAGUCAAAUUUCUUUCAUAUAUGAACUGCAAGAGCUAUAAGAUUUCAGGGCAUUGAUAAUUUUCUUGCAUGUAAGUAAUUUUAAAUACUCUUUCAAUUGAUGUUACUCAUUAACCAGCUUGUCACUGGUGUCCUUGUUGUAAUGGUGUAGUGUGAGUUCAAUUUUAUCUCUGUCAAUGUCAGGAUUGUGUAUCAAAUUUGAAAGAAAUUUAAGUAUUUUCUCAAAGAGUUCAUGUGAUUCAGUCCUCUGGGUUAAAUGUGUUAUCAAAAACUAAAAAGCCCAUUCAGUACUUCCCUCUUCCUGUUAAUGAAUUAUUGCUCUUUGUAUUAUCUAAAAAUAUUUCUGUUACAAUUUACUUCUUGAUGUCAAAGUGAUUUCUAUUUGACUUUAUCUCUCAAUUGUUUUUUCAUAUCCUAUCAAAUUUCAUCUGCAUUUUCUCCCAGUUUCUUAUUACAUUAAUUCAUAGAUGACAAAAGAGUUACUCUUCAUAUAUGCCCAUAUUAGGAGUCAUUGAUUUCUG
Molecule: long non-coding RNA, 12854 nt
Filed under: Homo sapiens (human)
Lineage: Eukaryota; Metazoa; Chordata; Mammalia; Primates; Hominidae
Description: non-protein coding lnc-AIG1-8:4
Source: RNAcentral